UUUAAAGACCUUUUUUCUUUGUGACAGGGUGCAGUCUUCAUAGGCAUUCCGGCUUAAGUUGAAACUUGUUUAUCAGGAAGUUUGAACAAGCUGUUUAUUGGCUUACAAUGCUUCUUUACGUAAAACAAGUUUUUACUAAAUUUAGUCUUGUGCCCAGCAGCUUUGUGUUAAAAACAGUUUUCCUUUCACUUUCUGACAGGUGCAGCAGUGACAACAGUGGAACAAAAGUGACUGUGUUGAGCAUUGAUCAUGCAAUCAUCAUGGGACAGCUACAUGAUCGCCCUGGGAUAUGAUCUAAAGGGCUUUAGUGUUGUCAAACACUUUGAUGAAGACUACAAUGGAAAUUCUGAGAUUGGAGAUCUCUUUACCGUGCAAUCAAGAUUCAAAGGCCUCUAUCAUGCUGGCGUGUGCUAUGAUGAAGAUCUGAUUGUUCAUUUCAUAAUGAAUGAGAGUCCAAAUGAGAGUGGGCACAGCUCAAGUAGUUCAUUUACACUCUCUUCCAGUUCCAGUCCAGGUCAUAUAGAAAUUGUGGCUGUGGAAGAAUUUUCUAGAGGAGAAAAAUUUGCAAUUCGCAGGAAGAAUGAUGGAAUCGAUGUACAAACAUUUAAAGUAAAUGUUAGAAAACAAAUGAAGGAAAAACGCAUGUAUAAUAUUUUGAACUCCAACUGCAUUCAUUUUGCCAUGGAGAUUCUUGGGCUGAAGAAGUGUUGAUCUUAACAAUCUUGUUUUAAGUCAGUAAUCCUGAUCAACUGACUGGAUGCUGUUGCUGUUGGACGGACAGACGGGUCACACCUCUGAUGAUGAUAGAGUAGAUUUCAUUCUGUUUCACAUGUUGAUGGGUUUCAUCAACAUUAUUUCUGCUGUAUUUGAUCUACAAAAACAAUAAAUUUCAUUUGACUAUUA
Tachysurus vachellii is the source of this 903-nucleotide long non-coding RNA. RefSeq lists it as uncharacterized. NCBI's taxonomy places the organism in Eukaryota, Metazoa, Chordata, Actinopteri, Siluriformes, Bagridae. The record is from RefSeq and is a predicted model, not a curated record. The transcript is spliced from 6 exons.